RNAcentral lists this ribosomal RNA (454 nucleotides) under uncultured bacterium. RNAcentral's name for it is "partial 16S ribosomal RNA". It matches the Rfam family "Bacterial small subunit ribosomal RNA", at positions 341 to 792 of the family's 1533-position model. The record is from RNAcentral.
ACGGAAGGCAGCCUUGCUGCAUAUUGGUCAAUGGACGGAAGUCUGAACCAGCCAAGUAGCGUGCAGGAUGACGGCCCUAUGGGUUGUAAACUGCUUUUAACCGGGAAUAAAGAUGUUCACGUGUGGACAGUUGCAUGUACCGGUUGAAUAAGGAUCGGCUAACUCCGUGCCAGCAGCCGCGGUAAUACGGAGGAUACGAGCGUUAUCCGGAUUUAUUGGGUUUAAAGGGAGCGUAGGCGGUAGAUCAAGUCCGCUGUGAAAGAUAGGUGCUCAACAUCUGGACUGCAGGUGAAACUGGUUUCCUUGAGUGCGUAAGAGGCAGGCGGAAUUCGUCGUGUAGCGGUGAAAUGCUUAGAUAUGACGAAGAACUCCGAUUGCGAAGGCAGCUUGCUGGGCCGCAACUGACGCUGAAGCUCGAAGGUGCGGGUAUCGAACAGGAUUAGAUACCCUGGUA